Molecule: long non-coding RNA, 2578 nt
Filed under: Prunus dulcis (almond)
Lineage: Eukaryota; Viridiplantae; Streptophyta; Magnoliopsida; Rosales; Rosaceae
Description: sRNA ncRNA
Source: RNAcentral
UCAAUAACCCUCUCAGACUCUCACUCACUCACUCGGCCGUCUCUCUCUCCCUCUCUCACUCACGAAACUCACGAAACCAAACCCUACACUAUUUCUCUCCCGAUCUCUCUCACUCACUCACUCACUCACUCGGCCGUCUCUCUCUCUCUCUGUCUCUCUCUCGACUCGUCCCUUGGCUCUCUCUCACUCUUAGUCACAUCUUUAAGUCUCUUAGAGUCGCGCGAGAUUCAUUCUCUUUCUCCAAACCGAACCAAACAUCAUCCAAUUUUAUUGGUUUUUGGAGCGAAUCCUUGUAAAUUCUGGAGGGCUCUGGUUCAUUCUAAGGUAAUUUGUAUGUAUUUGGUUUGAAUUCUUAGUUGUUUUCAUUUUCCCUAAUUUAGUAGAUUAUUAGGGUUCUGAAAUUUUGGUAUUCUGUUGUAAUUAACACAAUUUGUUCUUAAUUUUGCAGUAGUUGUGCUUAGUCUCUGUGGGUUUGGAUUAAUAGGCAAAAUUGAAGGUAUAAAUAUUUCUGUCUCAAUCUCUAUUUGUGGCUUAAAAUUGAAUGUGUGCAUUAGAAUUACAUAUUUUUAUAUCAUCAGCUCCACAUGGCUUUACUUUCGAUGUAUGGAUUUUUGGUAUUUCUUUCUUUAUGCUUAUGGUUUAGGCUGUUUAGGGGGUCCAAUUUGAGCUGGAUUGUUCCACAAUCUUGUGUGGCUUUAUUCUGCGAGAGGCCUAAGUUGUUUGGUGAUAGUAAGAGGGGUGUGGUUCUGGGGAUAAUUCUUUCGUUUCUAUAUAUUCAGUUUGGAGAGUUGUUUCCUAGUGCCUUGUUCUGUUGUUGUGGAUGCUUGUUUUUGCUGCUUUUGCUGAGAGCUUUUUUAGCGUAGUGGACUUCUUGUCCUCUGUUUUUGUAUUUGUUUGCUUUAAUCAAUGAAUUCUGUUUCAUAUAAAAUAAAAUAUGAUCUAGUCAUUUAGUGUAAAGUUACCUAGGAGGUACCUGUUAGAAAUCCAUGCAAUAUAUAAAGUGUUAACCUUGCUCAUAAAUAUGGUAUAAUGUUCAUUAAAAUAUUAAUAUAAAAGAAAUGAACGGAUUUUUGAAGAUGCGAGGGGCAGAAGUGGAGGAGGUGCGGGAAAAAGCAAAGUACUGGGCAGUGCUGUAGGCUUCUGUUUCUCCUAUUUUUGGGAAUUCAUCUCUUUCAACCAUUUUGCUUGAUUGGGCUGCAGUGUCUUCAUUAGGAUUGUUUUUCUCAUAGUUGUAAAUGUCGGUACUAGUUUUCUUGUUUCCUUCUAUUAUUGCUGGAAUACUUGUCCACUUUUCUGUAUGGUUUUUUAAUGAAAAAAAAAUUUCUCCCUUUCUUUAAAAAAAUAUUUAUAUAUAUAAUAUAAAAGAAAUCUGCAUAUACUGCCGCUUUUUAAUUAUUUAUUAUUGCAAAUUUGUGGACCUAGAACCUUAGGGGAAGUAGACGAUUGGGUAACUAGUUCACUUAUUUUAUUUUGAUGUGAUUAAAUUGCACUUUAGAUGAUUAUUGAAACUUUUUUGGGUAGUUAGUUUAAUGUGUUUUUCUGGUGGAAUUUCAUUAAUUUAAUAAUUUGUUUGUAACCUAUCUUUGCUGUUGCUGUUUUGAGUGAAGCUUGUUUAUGGAACGAAUGAAGUUUGUUUGUAACCUAACCCUUUUUUUGAUUUCAUUCACAGUUGUUUAGCAUCGCUGCUGCUGCUGCUGCCUGCUGCCUCCUGCUGCUGCUGCUGCUGGUAUUCUGAGCUUUGAAAGUUUGGAAAAUUUUGCUUAAAUGGAGGUAAAUAUUCGUUGCUGCUGCUAAUCUCUUUAAAUCUGUUUAUGUAAUCUGUAUAAAUCUGUUUUUGUAAUAUGUUUAAAUCUGUUUAUGUAAUCUGUAUAAAUCUGUUUUGUAAUCUGUUUAAAUCUGUUUUUGUAAUCUGUUUUUGUUUAAAUCUGUUUUGUAAUCUGUUUAAAUAUGUGUUUGUAAUCUGUGUUUGUAAUCUGUUUUUGUUUAAAUCUGUGUUUGUAAUCUGUUUAAAUCUGUGUUUGCAAUCUGUUUUUGUAAUCUGUUUUUGUAAUCUGUUUUUGUAAUCUGUUUUUAUAAUCUGUUUUUGUAAUCUGUUUUUGUAAUCUGAUUUUUGGAUAGGAUAUAUGUUUAGGGAGUUGUAUGCAUAGGAAAAUCUGUUUUGACAGUUUAAAUGUGUUUUUUUUAAUAGGAUAUAUGUUUAUGUUUUAAUAUGUUUAUUGCAUCUUAUUUCAAGUAUGAUUUGUUGAUGGUGAAACUUUGUGUUAAUUCUUUUAAGUGUUGUGUAGGUUGCUUUGUGAAGGCUUUUGGAAGAAUGGAUGCAGCAUAUUUUUUGCAAGGAUAUUAUCUCUAUGUGUAUUUUUGUGAUGGGUUGUAAUCUUUAAUGUCAUAAGUUUAAUUUGGUUUGUGUAUUAUUUUUUGUAAUGGUUUGUAAGAGAUUAUAUUUCCUUUCCUUGGUUGGUUGGUUGAAUGUGUGUGUGAGAUUUAUUUAGUCUAGAAACUUAGAUUGGAAUGAUGGAUUUUUAUAGCUUGAAUGUACAUAAUUUCAGGUUUUGAAAGACAAGUAAAAAUUGUUUUGGGC